This 505-nucleotide ribosomal RNA is filed under the name uncultured bacterium. RNAcentral's name for it is "bacterial SSU rRNA". It matches the Rfam family "Bacterial small subunit ribosomal RNA", at positions 29 to 524 of the family's 1533-position model. The record is from RNAcentral.
AGUGAACGCUGGCGGCAGGCCUAAUACAUGCAAGUCGAACGGCAGCACAGCAGAGCUUGCUCUGUGGGUGGCGAGUGGCGGACGGGUGAGGAAUACAUGGGAAUCUGCCCAGUCGUGGGGAUAACGUAGGGAAACUUACGCUAAUACCGCAUGCGCCCUUCGGGGGAAAGCCGGGGACCGUAAGGCCUGGCGCGAUUGGAUGAGCCCAUGUCGGAUUAGCUAGUUGGCGGGGUAAAGGCCCACCAAGGCGACGAUCCGUAGCUGGUCUGAGAGGAUGAUCAGCCACACUGGAACUGAGACACGGUCCAGACUCCUACGGGAGGCAGCAGUAGGGAAUAUUGGACAAUGGGCGCAAGCCUGAUCCAGCCAUGCCGCGUGAGUGAAGAAGGCCCUCGGGUUGUAAAGCUCUUUUGUCCGGAAAGAAAAGCGCCGGGUUAAUACCCUGGUGUCCUGACGGUACCGGAAGAUAAGCACCGGCUAACUUCGUGCCAGCAGCCGCGGUAAU